UCGAAAUAUAUAUGGAAAUGUAGUUAAAUAUAACAGGGUGGCAGGGAUUUGAGGAAAGUGGGGCAAAAACCAUAGUAUUUUCGAAAACAAUUGACCAGUUUUAUGCCAUAAGUUGACUUUUUCAAAUUUCUAAUCUUUGAUUAGAUUGAUCUCAAUAUCUAAUAAUCAUACAUGCGAUGACAAGAACAUAUUUUUAACAAUUACAUUUAUUCUUAUCAUCAUUUAUGCAAGAGUAAAUGUUUGAUUAAUAUACAAUAUAUACCACUAUUCAUAUUGUGUUUUACACCCACAUACUAACAAAGGGAAAAUGCAAUAUGAACUACUUUUUGAAUAUCUUUGAAACUAUUUAUAACCAAAUAAUUGUGUAUUUCGUUUAGGUAGUCAUGCGUGCGAGAAAUGUACGGAUGGAAGCAUUCUUCCAUCGUUUUGCUUCUGUGACAAGAAAGUUCACUGUGUCAAAGAUAAAGAAUUGGGAAGUCGAGCAGCCGAUGACUCUAAAAAAAUUUGUAAUUGGUGUGCUGAUGUUUUCGACACUCAAUUUAAAAACCGAGGCAAUGCGAUUUGCCCUAGUCACUCUCAAGAUCUGUUGAAAAGUACUUGUAAUGAAGGUUAUGAUGGCUUCAUGUGUAAUGUCAUAACAAAACGUGUAUGCACCUUAAAAUUUGAACAGCCUAACUUACAGGAAUGCAACAGGUCAAAUUUAGAGGAAUGCUUCCUGAAAUCAAUAUGGCCUGGAACAUAUUACUAUUGCCAACAUUUCACGGAUUCCAAUAUCAAAGAAAGAAGUUUCCUAGAAGUUUGUAAAUGAAUGCUACCCCAUGACCGAAGAAAGGUAGAAAAUUAGAUUGAGUUAGGCUUCAUCCAAGAAGUUAAAAUGAACAAUUUCAAGGAGAAACCACUUUUUGCUCUCGAUUAAACAUCGUCUAGUUGAUAAUUGACAUCACCCCUAGAUAUAUAUUCCGCAGACAGAGAUGCAAUGAAUUCUUGAGGAGUGAGAACCAGUAGAAUGG
Mytilus californianus (California mussel) is the source of this 1010-nucleotide long non-coding RNA. RefSeq lists it as uncharacterized. Lineage: Eukaryota; Metazoa; Mollusca; Bivalvia; Mytilida; Mytilidae. The transcript is spliced from 4 exons. The record is from RefSeq and is a predicted model, not a curated record.